This 774-nucleotide ribosomal RNA is filed under the name uncultured Neocallimastigales. RNAcentral's name for it is "partial large subunit ribosomal RNA". It matches the Rfam family "Eukaryotic large subunit ribosomal RNA", at positions 24 to 631 of the family's 3401-position model. Lineage: Eukaryota; Fungi; Neocallimastigomycota; Neocallimastigomycetes; Neocallimastigales. The record is from RNAcentral.
UAUGUGAUCGUCUCUCGCAUAUCAAUAAGCGGAGGAAAAGAAACUAACAAGGAUUCCCCUAGUAACGGCGAGUGAAGCGGGAAGAGCUCAAAUUUGAAAUCUUAAAGGGUUUCCCUUUACGAAUUGUAGUUUAAAGAAGUGUUUUCUGUUGAGGUUUUGGUAAAAGUUCUUUGGAAUAGGACAUCAUAGAGGGUGAGAAUCCCGUAUUUGACCUUUACUUUCAACUUUGUGAUACACUUUCAAAGAGUCGGAUUGUUUGGGAAUGCAGUCCAAAAUGGGUGGUAAAUUUCAUCUAAAGCUAAAUAUUGGCGAGAGACCGAUAGCGAACAAGUACCGUGAGGGAAAGAUGAAAAGAACCUUGAAAAGAGAGUUAAACAGUACGUGAAAUUGUCAAAAGGGAAGCGUUUGACACCAGUGUUGUUUUUCUGAAAAUCAAUUAAAGAACUGUUUAUGCUAAGUUGUUUAGACUUUAUCAGCUAACUGUUUAGUUUUGAGCUUUUCUUUAAUGCACUUUUCAGUUAACAAGUCAACAUCAAUUUCUUUUGCUGUAAAAAAGCUUGAGGAAGGUGGCUUGAGAUUCGUCUUAAGUGUUUAUAGCCUCUUGCCUAUGCAGUCGGAGAGAUUGAGGUCUGCAGCGUAGAUCCUUCGGGGCUAAAUGCAUUUGUGCUAAGUUAUAGCAUUUUAUAGACAACUUGUUGACUAUGAUUUGUCUUGUAGCUUACUCGCUUAUGUUAUUUUACCUACGCUUAGGAUAUUGAUCUACAGAGCGAGAGU